UGCCUUGUGUAAAACUAACAGUAGAUAACUUGACGCAUGGUUGCAGUCUGCCAUCAAGGGAGACAUGAAGCUGAGGGUGGUCGUCAUGGACAGCGAGGCUGCGGCGGUGACGGCGACGGAGAGGAGCACCGCCAAGGAGAAGCUCUAGGAACCUUGAAGAAAAUAAACUAGCAACUUAGGGAACAGAUAUUCCUUAGGAUCUUGUUCCCGACAGAAGUUGCUUCAGGAAUCCCUAAAGAAGGAGUGCCAGCUAAGAUGCAGAACAGCUGCGGCCAGCGUCGAUGUGUUCGCGUUCGAAGACCUAACGGCUGCAGAGCUGAAGCGGUUGACGGAGGGAGCGGCGGACGGUGAGGGAGCGGCGGCGGACGAAAAGGGAUCUGCGGUGGCGGACGCCCUCUCCGAGGAGCGGUGGCACGCGGUCGUCCGGACGGGAAGAUGUUGUCUUGAAUCAGACGUAUUUUGGAACGUUGUAAAAUUGAACAGAGUAUCUGUAAAACGUGGCUCUAGCUGGCCCCACCCUUAUAAUAUUGCUUAAUUAAUGUAAUAGCAACUAUAUGGUGAA
Long non-coding RNA from Lolium perenne, 562 nucleotides. RefSeq lists it as uncharacterized. Lineage: Eukaryota; Viridiplantae; Streptophyta; Magnoliopsida; Poales; Poaceae. The record is from RefSeq and is a predicted model, not a curated record.